Molecule: non-coding RNA, 527 nt
Organism: Punica granatum (pomegranate)
Lineage: Eukaryota; Viridiplantae; Streptophyta; Magnoliopsida; Myrtales; Lythraceae
Source: RefSeq, a predicted model, not a curated record
GAGAGAGAAGUCAGAGAGAGAGAUCACAGGGAGGGAACGAGAGGGGAGAGGGGGCUCGGGAGUCGAGCACUAUUUGAAGGGCAUCCCCAGAAGGAAAGAAUUGGCUAAAGCUUCGAUUAGCGGAAGAUGUUUGUCCUUUUAAGUCGGUAAUGGGAUGAUGAUGAUGUGGGUUCCAUCAACACACCUUUGAUUUCAACAUCAACUGCCCUUCUUUGCCGGUCCUCUGUCUCCUCCCACUCCCAUAGACUCCGGAAAGCAACUAUAUAUUUUUACAUCCAUCCAUUUCUCCCUCCAAUCCAAGGGGCUGGUCUCUCUGUAUUUUUUUUCGGAUGACUGUCUUUUCAUUUGAUAAGUUUUUGAGUACAUUAAGGUUAAGCAUUGAGAAAUUUUGUCUGUCUUGCAGAAAAGGUUUAUUUGUUCUUAGAAAAUUGUUGCUAGAUUAUAUUGGAAUGAAAUAAACGCGGAUUUAAUAGUUUAUGGUAGACUGAAUAGAGCAAUAGUAGAAUGUGGUGAAAUACAUUUAUAAA